GGGGAUUUAGCUCAGUGGUAGAGCACUUGCCUAGCAAGUGCAAGGCCCUGGGUUCAGUCCUCA
Molecule: non-coding RNA, 63 nt
Organism: Rattus norvegicus (Norway rat)
Lineage: Eukaryota; Metazoa; Chordata; Mammalia; Rodentia; Muridae
Source: Rfam